CAUGGCUCAGAACGAACGCUGGCGGCAGGCCUAACACAUGCAAGUCGAGCGAACCCUUCGGGGUUAGCGGCGGACGGGUUAGUAACGCGUGGGAAUAUACCCUUUGGUACGGAAUAGCCUCGGGAAACUGAGAGUAAUACCGUAUGUGCCCUUCGGGGGAAAGAUUUAUCGCCAAAGGAUUAGCCCGCGUUGGAUUAGAUAGUUGGUGGGGUAAUGGCCUACCAAGUCUACGAUCCAUAGCUGGUUUGAGAGGAUGAUCAGCAACACUGGGACUGAGACACGGCCCAGACUCCUACGGGAGGCAGCAGUGGGGAAUCUUAGACAAUGGGCGCAAGCCUGAUCUAGCCAUGCCGCGUGGACGAUGAAGGCCUUAGGGUUGUAAAGUCCUUUCAGAUGGGAAGAUAAUGACGGUACCAUCAGAAGAAGCCCCGGCUAACUCCGUG
This 443-nucleotide ribosomal RNA is filed under the name uncultured bacterium. RNAcentral describes it as "bacterial SSU rRNA". It matches the Rfam family "Bacterial small subunit ribosomal RNA", at positions 18 to 507 of the family's 1533-position model. The record is from RNAcentral.